RNAcentral lists this long non-coding RNA (4435 nucleotides) under Homo sapiens (human). RNAcentral's name for it is "HSALNT0299486". Lineage: Eukaryota; Metazoa; Chordata; Mammalia; Primates; Hominidae. The record is from RNAcentral.
AGAAAACGCAACAGUCAGCCUGUUCCAAGAUUCUGGGCAGGCUGUGUGGUGUGAUCCAUAGGACUUGGGCUGCUGUGGAGUGAAGAAUACAAUGACUGCCAAUUCACCUUGGUGCUGUGAUCUUGAUUCCUGCAAACAUACCAGCAGUUUUACCCACCAUCGCUUUUGUACUAUCAGUACAGAGGCCAGUACAGUGGAAAAGGAAAUCUGGUGCUCUUAACCCUCCUGGUAACCAAAGGGGUAUGAGGAUGAAUGAUGCUUGGCUGGUGUGUGCUGCUGUGUGGCAUGCCAGAACAGGGACUGCAGUAUCAGCAUUCACAGACACUGGAGGCUGGCACAGAAAUUGACAAGCUGAUCCUAAAAAUCACAUGAAAAUGUAAAGAAUCCAGCAAUCUCUUGGAAAAGAAGCCAAAACAAUAUUGGAGAAGAAAAACAAAGUUGGAAAACUCACACUUCCUGAUAUCAUAACGUAAUACAAAGCUACAGUAAUUAAGGCUAUUUGAUUAUCUGGUAUAAAGAUAGACAUAUAGAUCAAUGCAGUAGAAUUUAGAAUUCAGGAAUAAACCUAUUUAUCUAUGGAUAAUUAAUUAUCAACAAACACACCAAGACAAUUGGGGAAGCAAUAGUUUUUUCAACAAAUGGUGUUGGGGCAAUUGGAUCACCACAUUUAAAGAAUGAGUGUAUUAACACCAUAUAGAAAGCUGACUUAUAUCAGAUCAAAAACUAAAUAUAAGAGCUAAAACUAUAAAAACAUUAGAAGAAAAAAAUGUGUAAAUAUUUGUGACCUUGGAUUGGGCAACAGUUUCUUGAAUAUGACAUGAAUUGUACAAGCAAACAGAGAAAAAAAUAGUUAAAUUGAACAUCAAAAUUAAGUACUUUUUGUACUUCCAAAGAUACUAUUGAGAAAUUGAAAAGAUUUUCUACAGAAUGGGAGAAAAUAUUUGAAAAUCAUAUAUCUGACAGGAGUUUAGUAUACAGUUUAUAUAAAAACUCUUACAACUCAUAGAUAAAAAGACAAAGAACCCAAUUAAAGUAUGGGCAAAGGAUUUGAAUAGAUAUUUCUCCAACGAAGGCAUAAAAAUAGCUGAUUAGCACAUAAAAAAUGUUCGAUAUCAUUAGUCAUUAGAGAGAUGCAGAUCAAAACCCCAAUGAGUUUCACCUCACACUCACUAUGAUGGCUGAAAUUUAAAAAGUCUGACAAUGAGAAGUGUUGGUGAGGAUGUAAAGAAAUUGGAACCUUUAUACGUUGUUGGUGGGAGUGUAAAAUGAUUCAGCCACUGUAGAAAACAGUUUGGCAGGUCCUCAAAAAGUUACAGUUACCAAAUGACCCAGCAAUUUCAUUCCUAGGUAUAUAGCCAAGAGAAUUGAAAACAUCUCCACACAAAAACCUGUACACCGACAUUCAAAGCAUCAUUAUUCAUAAUAGUCAAAAAGUGGGGACAACCCAAAUUUUCAUCAACAGAUGAAUGGCAAACAAAAUGUAGUAGGUCUAUACAGUGGAAUAUUACUCAGCUAUAAAAAGGAAUGUGGUACUAAUAUAUGCUGUAAGACGAAUGAACCUUGAAAACGUAAGGCUAAGUGAAAGAAGCCAGACACAAAAGGCCACAUACUGUAUGAUUCUAUUCAUGUAAAAUGUCCAGAAUGGGAAACUCCUAAACAGAAAGUAGAUUAGUGGUUGUCAGGGACUUGGAGAGGGGAAAACAGGGAGUGGCUGCUGAUGAUACAGGUUUUGGGGAUGAUGAAAACGUUCUGGAAUUAGAUCGUGGUGAUUGUUGUAAAAUUUCUGAAUAUGCUAAACACUACUGAAUUAUACACUUUCAUGAAGUGACUUCUAUGGUAUGUUAACUAUAUCUCAAAAAAUCAUGAGGGAAAAAAAUUGGUCUCUGUAGCUUUAACCUUUUAAAUAUUGGCAUGCUCUCAUGUCCCUUGGUGUCCCUCCUUCCCCUUGGUUUGAAGAAAUUGUCUAGACUUUUAAUUGGGAAUUUUUAUGGAUUCAUUUUACUUUUUAUUUUUUGAAGUCUUCAUCCUAUUCCCCAUAUGCAUAUUUUGCUAGAUGUAAUGCCAGGAAAGAACUCAGGAUUAGCCCUAAUGUGUAAGUUUGUGCUAUCUCAGGUUAGUUUAAGGAGAGGAAUCUCUAGGGGUGAAAGCCACAUGCACCAAAACCCAGUUAUCACCCCUAUUUACUCUCACCUCAUCAUGCAACUCUUCAAGUCAGAGCUUCAUCUUUCUUUUCUUUUUCUUUUUGAGACAGAGUUUUGCUCUUGUUGCCCAGGCUGAAGUGCAAUGGUGUGAUCUCGGCUCACCGCAACCUCUGCCUCCCAGGUUCAAGCAAUUCUCCUGCCUCAACCUCCAAGAGUAGCUGGGAUUACAGGCACGCGCCACCACACCCAGCUAAUUUUGUAUUUUUAGUAGGGACGGGGUUUCUUCAUGUUGGUCAGGCUGGUCUUGAACUCCCAACCUCAGGUGAUCCGCCACCUCGGCCUCCCAAAGUGCUGGGAUUAUAGGCAUGAGCCACCGCGCCCGGCCAGAACUUCAUCUUUAAAGUCCCAAUGAGCUGUGCAUUGCAAGGGUACUCUCCCUAGGUUGAACUCUGGGGGUGUCAAGGAGAGUGGGUGAAGGAAUGAAUGCUCACAGCCUAUCAGACCCAACCUGUUAUUAAGUCUUCAUUCUAAGGGGCUUUUAAAGGAGUGAAGAAACUGCUGUGACUUGUGCCAAAUUCUCAAAACCUUUUGACCUCAAGUCAGAGGUAUUUUUACCGUUAUGCAGACGUCGGGCUCUUGAAUGCAGCCCCAUUGCCCAAGUUCGAUUGAUCCAGUAUCUCACAAUGUUUUGCUACUAACCAAUGAGCCUUGAGGAAACUUGCUUGUUUUCCCUACUGGUAAUUGAAAAUACUAUUAUCGUGUGAAGCAACAUGGAUAUAUUAUGAAAUAGAGUGCAAAAAUUGUGAAUUUUGAAGACAGAACACUUAAAUUGCAGUAAGCCAUUUUAGUCUAAACUGACUCUAGACCUGUUAAGGUCAUUUCCUCUUGGCUUGAAAAUAUAUUUUUGGUAAAACUAUUUGACAAGCAGUGUCCUAAUUCAAUAACCUACCAUCCCUAGCUUGACACUGUAGCUGAAGCUGAGUGUUAUCGUGUGUUAGCAAGACGUUAAGCUCCUGUACACUAAUUCCUGAAAACGCCAUUGUAUUUUUGGAACCGCACUGUGUUUUUGCUUGAUUUAACUUGAUGUUCUUUCUCAGUGAGUAAUUUUUACGGUUCCUGUUAAAAAAAAAUACCAAGUUGUCUCAUUUGCUGUGGCCAUUUGAUUGUAGUUCCUGAUGUAAUCUCUAGCACAAAGGUCCCAUUGAAGAGUUUAUUUUGGUUUCUAUAUGUGGGUCAAUCACAUAAUGCAGUUUACUGUGUGAAUUUUGAAGAAUUCCAAUCCUUCUAAUAGUGCUUGGAAAUAUGAGUACAAAUAUUGGGCUUUAAUGCAUUGAAAGGUGUUGUAGGAGGCAAACAACAUAGAAAUUAGGGUUUUGACACAUUUUUCAAGGAAGGGGCUUGAAGGAGGAGGUGUAGUGGCAGGCAUCUCUGGAGAACACCACUGACUAAAAUAAAAAAAAAAAUUUUCUCCAAGUUUCCCAUCUGUUACAUACUGGAUUUUUCCUGUAAAUAUCAAGUUUAAUGAAACAUACAUCCUGAAUACAUUGAAGGGGAAAUAACAAUCACCAGCUCCUGCCUGGUUAAAUGUUGACUCUAAUAAAUGAGUUGCCUGCACAGCUGUUCAAUUUUAUAAUUUCUCAUGGUGGCUAGUUCCUCAUUUCCAUCUUUGAAAUGCUUUUUAAAAAUCCUGGAAAGAACAUUUAGUUUUUAAAUUGAGGAAGAUUAGUGAUAAUCUCAUUAGCAAUCUGGAUGGUAAUUUUCAUUUAGUGGGUGCCUUCUCUAUGAAUCUUGGGAAAUUCUGAGAAUUCAUUGUUGCUAAACUUUUUGCUAAAAAUAUCCUUCCUAAAUGGAAAAGUCUGUGUCAUGCAUGCUAGUGUGAAUGUGGGCUCGUGAAGGAACUGGCAGCCUAGAUAGAUACCCUGAGAGUGAUGAGGUGGUGUGUAUCAGUCAGUGUUUACCACAGUAAUGCUGCAUAACAAACCACCCCCAAAGUCUGGACCAUACAAUGAAAGCAUUUAUUUCUGGCUUGUGUAUAUAUGAGUCAGCUUGUCUGGGCUCAGCUAGAUUUGGCUGCAGGCCUUGAGUUCAAUUUAGAUCUGUUUCAAGCAUCUUAUUUUUCUGAGUCAAGUAGGCAACUCUGCAAGGCAUGUUCUUCUCACGUUAAUGUCAGGGUGCAAGAGGACAAGCCUAAUCAUGCCAGUGCAUUAUAUCAUACCCCACUGGCCAAAGCAGACAUGUGGCUAAACCCAAAGAUUAGCCAAAUUCUGCCUAUAGUGGGAGGAACUGCAAAAGCC